CCUACGGGUGGCUGCAGUAGGGAAUAUUGCUCAAUGGGGGAAACUCUGAAGCAGCAACGCCGCGUGGAGGAUGAAGGUUUUCUGAUUGUAAACUCCUUUUGUUAGAGAAGAUAAUCUCGGUAUCUAACUUCUACUCACCGGCUAACUCCGUGCCAGCAGCCGCGGUAAUACGGAGGGUGCAAGCGUUACUCGGAAUCACUGGGCGUAAAGCGCGCGUAGGCGGGAUAGCAAGUCAGAUGUGAAAUCCUAUGGCUUAACCAUAGAACUGCAUUUGAGACUGUUAUUCUAGAGUAUGGGAGAGGUAGGUGGAAUGCUUGGUGUAGCGGUAAAAUGCGUAGAGAUCAAAAAGAAUACUCAUUGCGAAGGCGGCCUGCUAGAACAUAACUGACGCUGAUGCGCGAAAGCGUGGGGAGCAAACAGGAUUAGAUACCCCUGUAGUC
This 440-nucleotide ribosomal RNA is filed under the name uncultured bacterium. RNAcentral describes it as "partial 16S ribosomal RNA". It matches the Rfam family "Bacterial small subunit ribosomal RNA", at positions 338 to 795 of the family's 1533-position model. The record is from RNAcentral.